Molecule: ribosomal RNA, 253 nt
Filed under: uncultured bacterium
Lineage: Bacteria
Description: partial 16S ribosomal RNA
Rfam family: Bacterial small subunit ribosomal RNA
Source: RNAcentral
UACAGAGGGUGCGAGCGUUAAUCGGAAUUACUGGGCGUAAAGCGUGCGUAGACGGCUAUCUAAGUCGGGUGUGAAAGCCCCGGGCUCAACCUGGGAAUUGCAUUCGAGACUGAAUAGCUAGGGUACGGUAGAGGGAAGUGGAAUUUCCGGUGUAGCGGUGAAAUGCGUAGAUAUCGGAAGGAACACCAGUGGCGAAAGCGACUUCCUGGACCAGUACCGACGUUCAGGCACGAAAGCGUGGGGAGCAAACAGG